GACAGAGGGUGCAAACGUUGUUCGGAAUUACUGGGCGUAAAGCGCGUGUAGGCGGCCCUGCAAGUCGGAUGUGAAAUCCCACGUCUCAACCGUGGAAGUGCAUUCGAAACUGCAGGGCUAGAGUCCUGGAGAGGAAGGUGGAAUGCUUGGUGUAGAGGUGAAAUUCGUAGAUAUCAAGCGGAACACCGGUGGUGAAGGCGGCCUUCUGGACAGUGACUGACGCUGAGACGCGAAAGCGUGGGGAGCAAACAGG
This 253-nucleotide ribosomal RNA is filed under the name uncultured bacterium. RNAcentral describes it as "partial 16S ribosomal RNA". It matches the Rfam family "Bacterial small subunit ribosomal RNA", at positions 524 to 776 of the family's 1533-position model. The record is from RNAcentral.